Molecule: ribosomal RNA, 581 nt
Filed under: Bathyuroconger sp. KY17-305
Lineage: Eukaryota; Metazoa; Chordata; Actinopteri; Anguilliformes; Congridae
Description: partial 16S ribosomal RNA
Rfam family: Bacterial large subunit ribosomal RNA
Source: RNAcentral
AAAUGUAUUAGAGGUCCCGCCUGCCCUGUGACUAUAAGUUUAACGGCCGCGGUAUUAUGACCGUGUGAAGGUAGCGUAAUCACUUGUCUUUUAAAUGAAGACCCGUAUGAAUGGCACGACGAGGGUUUAACUGUCUCCUUCCCCCAAUCAAUGAAAUUGAUCUACCCGUGCAGAAGCGGGUAUAAUAACAUAAGACGAGAAGACCCUAUGGAGCUUUAGGCUAAGGAUUAAACAUGUUAAAAGAGCUAAACUUUUUAAUCCCAAGGAAACUCGAACAGCCAAAAACCAAAUGUAAAAUAAUCCAAAUGCCUUCGGUUGGGGCGACCAUGGGGAAAAAAGAAACCCCCACAUGGAAUGGAGCCAUCCUCCUAAACCAAGAAAAUCAAUUCCAAGUAAUAGAACAUCUAACCAAAAAUGACCCAGGAACUAAUAUCCUGAUCAAUGAACCAAGUUACCCUAGGGAUAACAGCGCAAUCCUUUCCCAGAGCCCAUAUCGACGAAAGGGUUUACGACCUCGAUGUUGGAUCAGGACAUCCUAAUGGUGCAGCCGCUAUUUAAGGGUUCGUUUGUUCAACGAUUAA